This 482-nucleotide ribosomal RNA is filed under the name uncultured bacterium. RNAcentral describes it as "partial 16S ribosomal RNA". It matches the Rfam family "Bacterial small subunit ribosomal RNA", at positions 30 to 507 of the family's 1533-position model. The record is from RNAcentral.
AUUGAACGCUGGCGGCAUGCCUUACACAUGCAAGUCGAACGGUAACGGGCCUUCGGGUGCCGACGAGUGGCGAACGGGUGAGUAAUACAUCGGAACGUGCCCGAUCGUGGGGGAUAACGAGGCGAAAGCUUUGCUAAUACCGCAUACGAACUACGGAUGAAAGCAGGGGACCGCAAGGCCUUGCGCGGACGGAGCGGCCGAUGGCAGAUUAGGUAGUUGGUGGGAUAAAAGCUUACCAAGGCGACGAUCUGUAGCUGGUCUGAGAGGAUGAGCAGCCACACUGGGACUGAGACACGGCCCAGACUCCUACGGGAGGCAGCAGUGGGGAAUUUUGGACAAUGGGCGCAAGCCUGAUCCAGCCAUGCCGCGUGGAGGAUGAAGGCCUUCGGGUUGUAAACUGCUUUUGUACGGAACGAAAAGCCUUCUUUUAAUACAGGAGUGUCAUGACGGUACCGUAAGAAUAAGCACCGGCUAACUACGUG